Molecule: transfer RNA, 74 nt
Filed under: Candidatus Amesiibacteriota bacterium
Lineage: Bacteria; Candidatus Amesiibacteriota
Description: Candidatus Amesbacteria bacterium tRNA-Ala
Rfam family: tRNA
About the family: Transfer RNA (tRNA) molecules are approximately 80 nucleotides in length. Their secondary structure includes four short double-helical elements and three loops (D, anti-codon, and T loops).
Source: RNAcentral
GGGCCUAUAGCUCAGCUGGCUAGAGCGCAUCAUUUGCAAUGAUGAGGCCGCCGGUUCGAGUCCGGCUAGGUCCA